AGAGAAGAUGUUCCCUUGUGAUCCUUGUUUUUUUUGGAUCGGGUGGUUCUGCGCUCUUUUAUGUUGCCUAUCGAUAUGUUGUUUAAGUUAUUGUACUGUUGUAAACAGGCCAAGACAGUCUCAUAGCUCAGCUGGUUAGAGCGCUACACUGAUAAUGUAGAGGUCGGCAGUUCGAGUCUGCCUGAGACUACAAAGGAGUCGAAAGACAGGCGAGAAGUUUAUCCUGAGUAAGUCCCUAUAGGGACGCAUCGAAGGGAUUCUGCCUGAGACUACAAAGUAUGUCGAGGAAAGACGGGAAGCCUGUGCUGAGCACGGUCGAAGUAAGUCUGCCUGGGACUACGACGUUCAUUUGAUUGAAAUAUUGAAAGGAAAUUCUAGAAGUUGAGUAGUAGUUGGAAGUACUGACUACUGACUACUAUGUACUAACUACUAGUAUAUGGGGGAUUAGCUCAGCUGGCUAGAGCGCCUGCCUUGCACGCAGGAGGUCAUCGGUUCGACUCCGAUAU
Molecule: unclassified non-coding RNA, 506 nt
Filed under: uncultured Flavobacteriaceae bacterium
Lineage: Bacteria; Pseudomonadati; Bacteroidota; Flavobacteriia; Flavobacteriales; Flavobacteriaceae
Description: 16S-23S ribosomal RNA intergenic spacer
Rfam family: tRNA (bases 117-190)
Source: RNAcentral